This 584-nucleotide ribosomal RNA is filed under the name Helminthosporium nabanhensis. RNAcentral describes it as "partial large subunit ribosomal RNA". It matches the Rfam family "Eukaryotic large subunit ribosomal RNA", at positions 81 to 676 of the family's 3401-position model. Lineage: Eukaryota; Fungi; Ascomycota; Dothideomycetes; Pleosporales; Massarinaceae. The record is from RNAcentral.
UAGUAACGGGGCGAUGAAGCGGCAACAGCUCAAAUUUGAAAUCUGGCUCCCCUUGGGGGUCCGAGUUGUAAUUUGCAGAGGGUGCUUUGGCGUUGGUGGCGGUCUAAGUUCCUUGGAACAGGACAUCGCAGAGGGUGAGAAUCCCGUUUGUGGUCGCCUGCCUUCGCCGUGUAAAGCCCCUUCGACGAGUCGAGUUGUUUGGGAAUGCAGCUCUAAAUGGGAGGUAAAUUUCUUCUAAAGCUAAAUACUGGCCAGAGACCGAUAGCGCACAAGUAGAGUGAUCGAAAGAUGAAAAGCACUUUGGAAAGAGAGUCAAACAGCACGUGAAAUUGUUGAAAGGGAAGCGCUUGCAGCCAGACUUGCCCGUAGUUGCUCACCCUAGCUAUUGCUAGGGGCACUCUUCUGCGGGCAGGCCAGCAUCAGUUUGGGCGAUCGGAUAAAGGCCUCUAGCACGUUCCUUCCUUCGGGAUGGCCAUAUAGGGGAGGUGUAAUGCGAUCAGCCCGGACUGAGGUCCGCGCUUCGGCUAGGAUGCUGGCGUAAUGGCUGUAAGCGGCCCGUCUUGAAACACGACCCAAAGGAGUAA